UCGGGACUAGUGGCGGACGGGUGAGUAACGCGUGGGAACAUACCCAAAGGUAAGGAAUAGCCUCUGGAAACGGAGAGUAAUACCGUAUGUGCCCUUCGGGGGAAAGAUUUAUCGCCUUUGGAUUGGCCCGCGUUGGAUUAGGUAGUUGGUGGGGUAAUGGCCUACCAAGCCGACGAUCCAUAGCUGGUUUGAGAGGAUGAUCAGCCACACUGGGACUGAGACACGGCCCAGACUCCUACGGGAGGCAGCAGUGGGGAAUCUUAGACAAUGGGGGAAACCCUGAUCUAGCCAUGCCGCGUGAUCGAUGAAGGCCUUAGGGUUGUAAAGAUCUUUCAGAUGGGAAGAUAAUGACGGUACCAUCAGAAGAAGCCCCGGCUAACUCCGUGCCAGCAGCCGCGGUAAUACGGAGGGGGCUAGCGUUAUUCGGAAUUACUGGGCGUAAAGCGCACGUAGGCGGAUCAGAAAGUCAGAGGUGAAAUCCCAGGCUCAACCUUGGAACUGCCUUUGAAACUCCUGGUCUUGAAGUCGAGAGAGGUGAGUGGAAUUUCGA
Molecule: ribosomal RNA, 550 nt
Filed under: uncultured bacterium
Lineage: Bacteria
Description: bacterial SSU rRNA
Rfam family: Bacterial small subunit ribosomal RNA
Source: RNAcentral